Taeniopygia guttata (zebra finch) is the source of this 455-nucleotide non-coding RNA. The record is from RefSeq and is a predicted model, not a curated record. Lineage: Eukaryota; Metazoa; Chordata; Aves; Passeriformes; Estrildidae.
GGGGGGUGGAGCGGCCAGCGCCGGUCGUAGCGCAUGGCCUCCGCCAUGAUCUGGCCGCGUGUGCUCUGGAGACACUGCAGUGCUCCCUGACAUGAACUCCGGACUAUAUUUCUCGGAAAAAUAAGGUGUUAGAGGGGAAUAAGGGAAAAGCACUUUGACUGAGCGUGAACCACAGAAGUUGGAAACAUUCAGUUUUCCAUGCAGAAUCCUUUUUCUAUUGUACUUGAUUGGGAUAAGAAAGGAUAAAAGAGAUAACAGCAACAAGACACCCACGAGUUACUGCCUCCUUAUCGGAAAAGACAAACAUGCUUCCACCUCCUCUCUGUCUUUAAGGAGCCACGAGGAUUAAGGGGAAGAAGUUGACGAUAACCAGAGGACACCCUAUUUUGAAAAGAAUUUAUGCAUCAUGUAUGAGAUAUAUGAAUAUGCAACAGGCAACUGCUUAUAAACGUUAA